RNAcentral lists this ribosomal RNA (524 nucleotides) under uncultured bacterium. RNAcentral describes it as "bacterial SSU rRNA". It matches the Rfam family "Bacterial small subunit ribosomal RNA", at positions 777 to 1301 of the family's 1533-position model. The record is from RNAcentral.
AAUAGAUACCCUGGUAGUCCACGCUGUAAACGAUGAAUGCUAGGUGUUGGCGCGAGAGCGUCGGUGCCGCAGUUAACACAAUAAGCAUUCCACCUGGGGGAGUACGAUCGCAAGAUUGAAACUCAAAGGAAUUGACGGGGGCCCGCACAAGCGGUGGAGUACGUGGUUUAAUUCGAAGCAACGCGAAGAACCUUACCAAGACUUGACAUCCCUUUGAAUAAGCAUGUAAUGUGCUUAGCCUUUCGGGGUAAAGGUGACAGGUGGUGCAUGGUUGUCGUCAGCUCGUGUCGUGAGAUGUUGGGUUAAGUCCCGCAACGAGCGCAACCCUUAUCCUAAGUAGCUAGCAGUUUAAGCUGAGCACUCUGAGGAGACUGCCGGGGAUAACUCGGAGGAAGGUGGGGAUGACGUCAAAUCAUCAUGCCCCUUAUGUUUUGGGCUACACACGUACUACAAUGGCUGCUACAGACAGAAGCGAAACCGCGAGGUGAAGCAAAGCUGAAAAAGGCAGUCCCAGUUCGGAUUGU